UUAUUUUAUCACCUUUUUUUGUUCCAUAACUCGUCAUUAUUUUUCUUGGUUCAUUGUCCUUUUUCUCCUUUUAAGUUUAUCUUCACUUCUCUACUUGCGGUUUCCCUCUGCAUGCACUCUUCUCACUAGUCUUGCAGAGUUAAGGAUCUUUAGGAGGGGAAGCUUAGAGAGUUUGCCGCAGAGAUGGGGGAGAUUACCAACGUCACGGAAUAUCAGGCAAUUGCCAAGCAGAAGUUGCCAAAGAUGGUAUAUGAUUACUAUGCAUCAGGUGCAGAGGAUGAAUGGACUCUGGCGGAGAAUAGAAACGCUUUCUCCAGAAUUUUGUUUAGGCCACGGAUUCUAAUUGAUGUGAGCAGGAUUGACAUGACCACCACCAUCUUGGGAUUUAAGAUUUCAAUGCCCAUCAUGAUUGCCCCAACUGCCAUGCAGAAAAUGGCUCAUCCUGAAGGUGAAUAUGCAACUGCAAGAGCCGCAUCAGCUGCAGGAACAAUUAUGGUUAAAUACAUAUCCUUGGGAAAUUUAUAUCGAAUCUUUUGAAAGAAGAUUUAGAUCAUGUUUAAAUUCAUAGAGUCACAUUAUUUGGCAGUAUCUACUCUCCAAGAAGGCAAGAACUAUCAAAGUUGACAUGACAAUGUAGCAAGAUUUUUACGUUGUGUGGCUUUAUAUAGCACACUGGAAAAUAAUGGAACCUGGAGAUUAAACUACAAAGACUUGUAAUAUACACUGAAUUAUUAAUGUAUGAUCUGUUGGUGAUUUCAGACGCUGUCAUCAUGGGCUACUUCCAGUGUUGAAGAGGUUGCAUCAACAGGACCAGGCAUCCGGUUUUUUCAAAUUUAUGUCUUCAGGGACAGGAAUAUUGUUGCUCAGUUUGUGCGAAGAGCUGAAAGGGCAGGUUUUAAGGCUAUGGCCCUUACUGUUGACCUACCUAGAGGGGGACGCAGAGAAGCAGAUAUCAAGAAUCGAACUUCGAGGGAUUAGACCUUGGCAAGAUGGACAAAGCAGAUGACUCUGGAUUAAUUUCAUAUGCUGCUGGUCAAACUGAUCGCACUCUAACUUGGAAGGAUUUCAAGUGGCUCCAGACCAUCACUUCAAUGCCCAUCCUUGUGAAGGGUGUCCUUACUGCUGAAGAUGCAAGAAUAGCUGUCCAGAAUGGAGCAGCUGGCAUCAUUGUAUCCAAUCAUGGUGCCCGUCAACUUGAUUAUGUUCCUGCAACUAUUAUGGCUUUGGAAGAGGUUGUGAAAGCUGCACAGGGUCGUGUGCCAGUGUUCUUGGAUGGAGGGGUCCGUCGUGGCACUGAUGUCUUCAAGGCCUUAGCCCUUGGAGCUUCUGGCAUAUUCAUUGGAAGACCUGUGGUUUUCUCCUUGGCUGCAGAAGGAGAAGCUGGAGUUAGAAAAGUACUUCAGAUGCUGCGUGAGGAAUUUGAGCUAACCAUGGCGUUGAGCGGCUGCCGGUCACUCUCGGAGAUUACUCGCAACCACAUUGUCACCGACUGGGAUGUUCCACGCCUUCUUCCUCCAGCAAGGCUUUGAAUGCAGCUGCCUAAAUUAGAGGCAACUGCUUCAUUACAAUUUGAACCAUGGCAUUUGUGCUUUCAAGAGAAUCCCUUUUCAUGAAAACUCACUUAUGUUUAAAUGAGUCUACAAUCUACAUUAUGAUAAUGUCAAAGCUUUUGAGUAGAGGUGGCAAUUUGUCCCAAGUCCCAAUGGGUUACCCAUGCCCAAAAGGACUUUAGGCGGGAUGGGUAUUAUAAUUUGAUAUUGGAUUUAAAAUGGGAUGCAUCCCAAUUGUACCCAUUAUUUGAUGGGAAAUGUUGGGAAAUAUUUGGGUACCCAUUGGGCUCAAAUAUCUUCCCAAAAAAUUUCAUUUAUCAAAAAAUUCAUCUUUGAUUUUUUUUUUUUUUUUGCAAAAAUCUGAUUUUUUUGCACUUCCAUUUUCUUUCUUUUCCUUUCUUCACUUUCCUACAAAAGAAAACCAAUUAAGUAAAAAUGAUUUCAUUUAAACAACUUAAAAAAAAUAAAGAUAACAAUAAAAAUAAAAUGAAUUGAUAAAAUUUUGUUGUCUACAAGAAUCAAUACUUUACUAACAAUUGUUGGCACCCUUUAUGUUGAUUUUAUGCUAAUUGUUGAACUAUCUACAUAGAUUUCUAUAUGCAACAUUGUUAUCAAUUUUUAAUCAGCUUUUUCGUUUCUAUGCUAGUUUUAUUCAGCAUUUAAUGUGAAUUUCUUUUGUAUCAAAUUUUGGAAAUUUUAAGAAUGUCAAUAAGAAUGAAUUUGGUAUUAAAAAAUCUUGUUUCUAGUUCUUGUGUUAGACAAUAUUAUGGAUAAGGUUGGAAUAUGGCUAUAUAUCUAUAUUUUCCUUUAUUUGUUAAUCCAAUUUUUGGUUUAAUCCAGGGAGAAGAUAUGUUCAUUCUUACCAAAAUGUUAUGUCUUUUAAAAGUAACUAUUGAUCGUUCUAGAAUGUAAAUGAAUUCAGGAAAAUAUAAAUUCACAAUAAGAUAAAAAGAAAUUUAACAAAUAAAAAUAUUAAAGUUAUAUAAAAAAUAAAAAAGAAUUAAAAGAAAAAAAUAUAGAAAAUAAAUUUGGGUAUUGGGCGGGAUCAAUCUAAACACAUUCCAAAGUGAUCCCGCCCAAGUUAGUCCCAAAACAUAUAUGGGUAAGGUUAGACACAAAUCCAUGUGAUUCGGUUCCAUUUCGAAUCCAAACAAAUUCAUGUGCAUGAGAUUGGACCAAAGUUUAUUCUAAAAAUAUGAGCUCUAGCUUUCUUAUUAAGAUGCUGCUAUCUGAAGUAUUCAUCCUUUUCACAAAUUUUGUUGUCUACCUCCAUUCACAAUUCAACAUUAUGGGUUGUAUUAUUGCAGAAUCCUCCAUCAGUUCCUACUUUAGUAGCUGUUAAAUGGGCCAGCUGCCUGAGACAUUCUGCUUUUGUAUUAGACUGGCAUAAUUUUGGUUACACACUACUUUCACUGACUCUUGGGAGGGGCAGCAGUUUUGUGACAAUAUAUCGUUGGUAUAAGACAAACCUUUUCCAUUUAAGUGUAGAAUUGGACCUUUUCUUAAUUAAUGAUUCAUAAAGUCAAAACAUAUCUAGGAUUGAGAAGCAUUACGGGAGGAUGGCAAGUGGUGCCUUUUGUGUGACAAAGGCAAUGCAACAUGAAUUGGAUCAGAACUAGGGGAUUAAAGCAACUGUGCUUUAUGAUCAACCUCCUGAAUUUUUCCGACCUGCUUCCAUUGAGGAGAAGCAUGAGUUGUUUUGUAGGAUCAGCGAAAGUCUCAGUCAACCCUUUGGACUUCAAGACUGCAUAAGCUAUGGAAUGACUGGAACAGGUGAAAGUGAUCCCAAUUCUACCUUAUUUACAAUUCAUACUGGCACAAAUAUAAUUAUGAAGCAGAACAGACCUGCCAUCAUUGUAAGCAGCACAAGUUGGUAAGCUGUUGAUGUGUCUUCAUUCAGUAGAUCAACUAAGCACCUAAUUACUAAAUUGUAGAUGACUAUCCUACUCCACAGUAUCUUGGGAGCUUAUGAAACUUUUUAAGGUAAAGUUAUGGCUUUAGUUCUUCGGAGACAGAUAACCAUUUGAGGAGUGUUAUUGAUUUGAGAUCAAACUGUUCACAACACAGAAACAUUGAUUAGUUUAGUGAUCUCCCAACAACAGAAAUUAGUACCACUGCUGUUUUUGCGAGCUUCAAAACCAGAAAGAAGGGUACCAAUGAUAAUCUGAAUAGCUUUUUCAUGCAUUCUUCAAUUCUUUCGCAUGAAAUGCAGUACGAAAUGGUAGUUAUGUGGUUAAUGGGCCAUAACUAAAUGAUGUGAGUUUAUAGCAAAUAUAGAUGGCGGCUGUUGUCUUAAGGAAUAGCCAAAUUGUUAUAAUGUUGUUAUUCUGCAUAGCAUCUCUGAUUCCAUAUAAGUAAUUUUCAGGACUCCAGAUGAAAACUUUAGCAUUCUUUUGGAGGCAGCACUUAUGUAUGAUAGACGAGUUGCAGGACUAUUAAAUGAGGAUGAUGUGAGUGAUGGGGAAAUUUUAUGGAAUGAAAUCUUGUGCCAAGGUGGAGGAGUUCAAGAAAAUCAUUGAGAAAGAGGCUUCAUCAGUGCUGGCAUCAUGUGGUUGGUCAGAAGAAGUUUACACUUUUAUGCUUUCUCGGAAAAAGCUGUGUGUGGGACGAGCAGAAUAUGAUGCAUCAAAUGUCAACCAAUUGAAGAGGCUGUUGAUAAAAGAUGCCAAAUCAGCCUUCAUUUCAAAAAUUCCCGAGUCGUUGAAGGGGAGGCUUAUUGAACAUCUAGUAUUAUUCAGCAAAGAGAAACAACCUUCUAUUGCGUGAGCAGUCUUGCAAGCCUCUAGCAAUUGUAGAUGAUGAGGUUGGCUCCUCAUACUGUGAUGCUGAAAAUGAUGGAGUUAAUUUACUAUGGCAUCCUGAAGUCUGAAUUUAAUUACGAGUAUAUUCUAUUUCAUCAGUGGCAGAAGAUACUCUUAUCACAUCUCUAAUGUUUUUGGAACUCGGUAACUGGUCGAUUGAACCAAUUGUAGAUGAUCGUCCUGUAAAAGAUAAGGCAUACAAAAGUCGAGCCUGGGUGUCACCUUAAAUUUGCUUCUUGCAGGCGGUGCAAUAGGUGUUUGAUAGAGAAUGACACAAAUGUUGCUCAUAUUGUAUGAUAUCCUUUUUGAUCGUAUGUGUAGCAUAGAAUCCCAUUUUAUGGAUGUAUCACAAUUUUCCCAUCAAAAUGUGGCCGGAGUGUACGAUUGGAUCAGCAAUUGAGUAUUAUUACUACUACUUUUUCUAACA
Non-coding RNA from Coffea arabica (coffee), 4778 nucleotides. Lineage: Eukaryota; Viridiplantae; Streptophyta; Magnoliopsida; Gentianales; Rubiaceae. The record is from RefSeq and is a predicted model, not a curated record.